CGCCCACAGAGAGAGGGGUUUCCAGGCUUUUCGUCUUUGCAGCCAAACCCACUACCAGCCCGCUGUCGGUGACCAAAUGUAUGAAGGUCAUCACACGGACCAAGAGGAGCAGACCAGGAUCCAAGGGCCUGUGGCUGCAGAACCAUUCCACCACCAGAAAUAUAAUUGCCCUGGAUGCUUUCUUCCAUUUUCCUAAAGUAUUUUUCUCCAAAGGUUUGAAGAGAGUAGCAUAUGAAGUCUGUGG
Molecule: non-coding RNA, 244 nt
Organism: Meleagris gallopavo (turkey)
Lineage: Eukaryota; Metazoa; Chordata; Aves; Galliformes; Phasianidae
Source: RefSeq, a predicted model, not a curated record